RNAcentral lists this ribosomal RNA (594 nucleotides) under uncultured Bacteroidota bacterium. RNAcentral's name for it is "bacterial SSU rRNA". It matches the Rfam family "Bacterial small subunit ribosomal RNA", at positions 122 to 715 of the family's 1533-position model. Lineage: Bacteria; Pseudomonadati; Bacteroidota. The record is from RNAcentral.
CAACCUGCCGCUUACUCGGGGAUAGCCUUUCGAAAGAAAGAUUAAUACCCGAUGGUAUAAAGAGUUCGCAUGUUCUCUUUAUUAAAGAAUUUCGGUAAGCGAUGGGGAUGCGUUCCAUUAGAUAGUUGGCGGGGUAACGGCCCACCAAGUCUACGAUGGAUAGGGGUUCUGAGAGGAANGNCCCCCACAUUGGAACUGAGACACGGUCCAAACUCCUACGGGAGGCAGCAGUGAGGAAUAUUGGUCAAUGGACGAGAGUCUGAACCAGCCAAGUAGCGUGAAGGAUGACNNNCCUAUGGGUUGUAAACUUCUUUUAUAAGGGAAUAAAGUGAGGGACGUGUCCCUUUUUGUAUGUACCUUAUGAAUAAGGAUCGGCUAACUCCGUGCCAGCAGCCGCGGUAAUACGGAGGAUCCAAGCGUUAUCCGGAUUUAUUGGGUUUAAAGGGAGCGUAGGUUGACAUAUAAGUCAGCUGUGAAAGUUUACGGCUCAACCGUGAAAUUGCAGUUGAUACUGUAUGUCUUGAGUGUACAAGAGGUGGGCGGAAUUCGUGGUGUAGCGGUGAAAUGCUUAGAUAUCACGAAGAACUCCGANUG